This 460-nucleotide ribosomal RNA is filed under the name uncultured bacterium. RNAcentral describes it as "partial 16S ribosomal RNA". It matches the Rfam family "Bacterial small subunit ribosomal RNA", at positions 338 to 795 of the family's 1533-position model. The record is from RNAcentral.
CCUACGGGAGGCAGCAGUGAGGAAUAUUGGUCAAUGGACGAGAGUCUGAACCAGCCAAGUAGCGUGAAGGAUGACUGCCCUAUGGGUUGUAAACUUCUUUUAUCUGGGAAUAAAAUGUUCCACGUGUGGGAUUUUGUAUGUACCAUAUGAAUAAGGAUCGGCUAACUCCGUGCCAGCAGCCGCGGUAAUACGGAGGAUCCGAGCGUUAUCCGGAUUUAUUGGGUUUAAAGGGUGCGUAGGUGGAUUGUUAAGUCAGUUGUGAAAGUUUGCGGCUCAACCGUAAAAUGGCAGUUGAAACUGGCAGUCUUGAGUACAGUAGAGGUGUGCGGAAUUCGUGGUGUAGCGGUGAAAUGCUUAGAUAUCACGAAGAACUCCGAUUGCGAAGGCAGUUCACUGGACUGCAACUGACACUGAGGCUCGAAAGUGUGGGUAUCAAACAGGAGUAGAUACCCUGGUAGUC